Molecule: ribosomal RNA, 713 nt
Filed under: uncultured bacterium
Lineage: Bacteria
Description: bacterial SSU rRNA
Rfam family: Bacterial small subunit ribosomal RNA
Source: RNAcentral
GUUUGAUCCUGGCUCAGAUUGAACSCUGGCGGCAGGCCUAACACAUGCAAGUCGAGCGGAUGAGGGGAGCUUGCUCCCUGAUUUAGCGGCGGACGGGUGAGUAAUGCCUAGGAAUCUGCCUGGUAGUGGGGGAUAACGUUCCGAAAGGAACGCUAAUACCGCAUACGUCCUACGGGAGAAAGCAGGGGACCUUCGGGCCUUGCGCUAUCAGAUGAGCCUAGGUCGGAUUAGCUAGUUGGUGAGGUAAUGGCUCACCAAGGCGACGAUCCGUAACUGGUCUGAGAGGAUGAUCAGUCACACUGGAACUGAGACACGGUCCAGACUCCUACGGGAGGCAGCAGUGGGGAAUAUUGGACAAUGGGCGAAAGCCUGAUCCAGCCAUGCCGCGUGUGUGAAGAAGGUCUUCGGAUUGUAAAGCACUUUAAGUUGGGAGGAAGGGCGUUUGGCUAAUAUCCAGGCGUUUUGACGUCACCGACAGAAUAAGCACCGGCUAACUUCGUGCCAGCAGCCGCGGUAAUACGAAGGGUGCAAGCGUUAAUCGGAAUUACUGGGCGUAAAGCGCGCGUAGGUGGUUCGUUAAGUUGGAUGUGAAAGCCCCGGGCUCAACCUGGGAACUGCAUCCAAAACUGGCGAGCUAGAGUACGGUAGAGGGUGGUGGAAUUUCCUGUGUAGCGGUGAAAUGCGUAGAUAUAGGAAGGAACACCAGUGGCGAA